Long non-coding RNA from Carassius carassius (crucian carp), 1523 nucleotides. RefSeq lists it as uncharacterized. The transcript has 3 exons. The record is from RefSeq and is a predicted model, not a curated record. NCBI's taxonomy places the organism in Eukaryota, Metazoa, Chordata, Actinopteri, Cypriniformes, Cyprinidae.
AAAAUUGAACGUGCAACCAGCCAGUCGAGCAGUCUAAAUCUCUCAGCAUGGUGCUGGUUAGUUUUGUGUGUGUGUGUGUGUGUGUGUGAUGUUAACAUACAUGAAGUUAUAAAUGUUUAAAAGUAUUUUAACGUGUUUGAUGACAAUCAUCAGACUAAGUAUUUUGUCUAAUAACUUAAUUGUACAGUGGAGUAAGGUAAGUAAAUGUUUAUCAAUUACACAUUAGAAAAGGAGGAGGCUGGAACUUGGAAGUGAAAAACGCUGUAUAUCCAGGUAUGCAUAAUUAUUAGGCAGAUCUUCUUUUACAAAUAAAACAAGCCAAAAAAAGAUUAUAUAUCACUUAUAAAAGAUUAAAUGCAAAAUUAAUAGUUAAGAUUGGUGUGGUUUGGAAUUGGUAAAUUUUACCAAAAAAUAUGAUCAGAAAAUCCUUCUUUUAAUUCUGCACAGUGCAUAUGCAAAAGGUAAGGUAAAGGUAAGAUUUGGUAGGUGUACAUUAAGUCUAAUCAAUGAAUAAAGUAGGUAAAACCAACAUAAUGAAUGAUUCUGAAAUAAGACAACUGUAAAAUCUUUGAAAUGUAUUUUAGGUUUGCCAUGUUCUGUACAGGGCUGAGGACCUGUAAGCUGCUCAUCUGGGUUCCAUCACAGCAAGUUACAUGUGCCACACAAUGAGCAAUUCUGUGCAAAGACUGUAGCUAGACUACAAACGUUUUAUUUUAAGUGUAUGCUUCGUCGUGUCAGAUGAGUUUCAGGCAGGCUACCUGCUGCUUUCCACAAGAUACUUGCAGCUUUGUAAAUAAGCAGGAAUGAGAAUAAUUAGGUUAAGGAUAGGAUAUUAGGUAAUUGGGAUGGGAUGUAGAGGAUGUGGGUGAAGACUAACUAUAUGAAAUAAGUUGUUUUAAAUCAGUUGUGUUAAACAAGAGACAGAUUGUGAUUUGUUUUUUAGAACAUGGAUAAUUUAAUAUAAGUUGUAUAAAAUCAUUUGUGAUUUGUUGAUCAGUGUUUGUUGUUUUCAGGAAGCAAGAGACACCUCCUACUGACCAUCCUAUAAAAUUUCAACAUUUAAUUUCCAUAUGUAAUAAACCAAGAUGGAAUUAACUUGCAAACCUGACAUGACUUAUUCCUUCAAAUUAAAGAUUAAAGAUAAAAAAAAGAUCAAAUUAAGAUAAAUAAAUAAAAACUAUUUACAGCAGGUAAUGUCAGGUGACACUGUAAAGGUUCAUAAAAAUAACCUAUUACAGCAGGUAACUUCUGGUGACAUUGUAAAGGUUCAUAAAAAUAUCUAUUACAGCAGGUAACUUCUGGUGACUUUCAGCAAGAUCAGGGGCAUGUGGAUCUGAUCACCCUCACAGUUGUCCACUGCAUCACUGGCGGUCAUCGAUACAUCUAAUCUGACAACCUUUUUAUCCCCCGGCGUGACUUCUUUAACGGAACAUCGUAGUCGAGCCAUUUCUCGGGGUAAGGGUGUUCGUCAGUCGCCUUCCCGUCCAUGAAAUGGUACAAAUACACAUAAGAGCGCGUGGGUG